Rhopalosiphum padi (bird cherry-oat aphid) is the source of this 837-nucleotide long non-coding RNA. RefSeq lists it as uncharacterized. NCBI's taxonomy places the organism in Eukaryota, Metazoa, Arthropoda, Insecta, Hemiptera, Aphididae. The record is from RefSeq and is a predicted model, not a curated record. The transcript is spliced from 3 exons.
GGGAAGUGUCCAGUAUUUAAAAGUUCUGUCGUACAAUGUUUUCCGGUCCAAGCUGUCCUGUGAGGGAGGAGGUGACGAAAAACAAUAUUUAAUUUCGGCGUACCGUCUUCUGGGAUAACGCGUUAUUGCGGCAUAUUCUCUUAUUAUCGACCGUUUCUUUUACCGAGCGGAGAAACGAAAACGGUUACUAUCCGAGAUGGAGGCGGCGAUGUCGUCGGAAGAAUUAUAAUUUACGACGAAGCCGUUGCCGCCACUUCCACCGCCGCCACGACGACGACGACGACGACGACGACGACUACGCGCAGUCCAGAGAGACGGGUCUGUCAACCCAGUGACCGACUGGCGAGAGGCGACAGCCACCGCAAACGGCCUGAUUCACUCUCUCUCUCACCUCUACAGCCGUCCAUCAUUAAAACUAUUAUUACUACGGAGACGCUAUGGUGUAUGGAAUUUCAUUGUUGUCAUUAUUUCGGCGGCAGGUAGAAUAGACACAUAAAAAAAUAAAAAUAAAAAAAAAACCGAAAAAUAACGUCUAGAUUCAAUGUAAAGUGAUAUAGUUAUAAUAUUAUUAUGCGUACCUUUUUAUAUUAUAUGUUAUCUGUCUGCAUGGAAUAAUAAUAAUAACAAAGCGGCUCUCGAACGGCGAAAUUCAUUUUCGACACUGUUUAGAGAUUUUCGUUGUCGCUGCAAACGCGAUUUCAUUGCGAUAUCGUACGAUUCGCGACAAACUAUCGUGACGACCGCAAUGCCGACCUGAACUCAAACCAAGCAUGGCCAUCAAUGCAGUGGCGUAUUAAGAUUUUGGCGACUCGGGCCCGUUAAUAUUUAACGAAAUAG